AGGGUUUUCUUGAGGCAAAAGAGGUGAAACACUUUCUCUCUUUUUCAACAAGGAGGCUGGCCACUUAGAGAGGAUUUAGCUAGUAAUCUUUUCUUCUCUAAGUCAUUCAUUUCAUCUUCACACCUCAUCUUUGGUGUGGAGACUUAGAGACACCAAACCUUUGGUGUUUUGGAGAUCCUUUCCUCACAUCCUCAAGGAGCAAAUGAGCAUCAAAAAGGAAGAUCCAAGGAGCUAGGAAGUGACUUGAAGGCCCUCCACUUGGGUGAAUCCCUUGUGUAAACAAGGAUGAGCUUCAAGGGUAAUGAAUCUUUAAAUCCUACCUUCUCUUUAAUAUUGUUAAAGA
RNAcentral lists this long non-coding RNA (343 nucleotides) under Malus domestica (apple). RNAcentral describes it as "long non-coding RNA (MDOM_LNC004487)". Lineage: Eukaryota; Viridiplantae; Streptophyta; Magnoliopsida; Rosales; Rosaceae. The record is from RNAcentral.